CUUCUCUCCAAAAUAAAUUGACGGGUGAAUUGAGUUCACCAGCGUUCACCCUCCACCACCCUGAUCCCUGAGAGAUCUCUCCGUAGUAAACAAAAUAUGUUGUUUACAAUCACACCUGCCACAACAAAUGGGAUAAUGCAGAACAUGUUUAUUGAUAUUUUAUUCAGGCCUGACCUCUGAUUAUAAAAGAAAAGCAUCCAAGCAGACAGUUGUGUGCGGCUCCAACAACCCCCCCCAUAUAAGAAACACAAAUAAAAGACAAAUGAUCGCAAUAUGAGCCACAGCGCCGUUAACAGAAAAGACGCAGCUGGUAAUAAGUACAGUCCUCUCCCAUCAGCCCACAGUUUUAUUGUGAAACAACACCUCUCCCCUCAGCUGUCCUGAGAUCACACCGAACCUCGCGGCCUCUCGCGCAUUAUUAUCACUGCCUCAGCUGAAGCGCGCGCGCCGCGGAAAAGUCCAGUUCGGUUUUUCCGCGAAGCUCCAAAAAUCUAUGAAAUGUGUUUGCAUGUUCCUCUCUGCAAGCGGGGAUGUAGAGGUGGGAUUGCGAGGACCGAGAAAGCUGGGGGAACCCACGCGUUCAGCCUCAGAGAAAGUAUACGCUUUUCCAAAAGAACUGACGGUGAAUCAUUUUUUUCUUUUCACAUUUGUCACUAACAGGCAGACACUCUGUAGGAUUGUGUUCUCGGAGAAUAAGCUUUUUUUUUUUUUUCCUGCCCUUUCCUUUUUUUUUUUUUUUUUUGUCACCAUUCUGCACGGCAGGCUGAGAGACGGACCGCUCGGACUGUGGGAGCCCUCCCCUCUGCUCGGAUCUGCUUUGUUUCCAGAUGGCCCAUGGAAGAACGUGGAUGAGGGCUGAGCUGUAGUGCGGGCAGAAGGCUCUGGGGCCUGCCUGUUGUCGGCUGGCUGAUUGGUUCAUUGAGGUGAGGCACUACUCUCACCGGGGCACAGAACGGACCGAGAAGAGGUCUUUGCUCCCCCUCCUCACUCACCCCUGCCCCCUUUCCACCCUCACCCCCAACCU
This 1024-nucleotide long non-coding RNA is filed under the name Dicentrarchus labrax (European seabass). RNAcentral's name for it is "lncRNA (ENSDLAG00005028021.1)". Lineage: Eukaryota; Metazoa; Chordata; Actinopteri; Moronidae. The record is from RNAcentral.